GAUAGCCUAAGAUCUUGGCUGGAUUCAGGGUGGGGUUGGUGAUGAUCCGCACAUCUCCACCGCCAGGAGCCCAAGAGUCAUAGACUCCACCAAAUACACAAGCUUUUAGCACCAGCAACAGCGCUCCACAUCCCAGCAGGACCAAGUGGAUACCGAUGAUAGUGGUCAUCUUGUUCUUAUCUUUCCA
Molecule: antisense RNA, 187 nt
Filed under: Halomicronema hongdechloris C2206
Lineage: Bacteria; Bacillati; Cyanobacteriota; Cyanophyceae; Nodosilineales; Nodosilineaceae
Description: Antisense RNA which regulates isiA expression
Rfam family: Antisense RNA which regulates isiA expression
Source: Rfam by way of RNAcentral